This 301-nucleotide ribosomal RNA is filed under the name uncultured bacterium. RNAcentral describes it as "partial 16S ribosomal RNA". It matches the Rfam family "Bacterial small subunit ribosomal RNA", at positions 509 to 807 of the family's 1533-position model. The record is from RNAcentral.
CAGUAGCCGCGGGAAUACGUAGGUGGCAAGCGCUGUCCGGAAUUAUUGGGCGUAAAGGGCUCGCAGGCGGUUUCUUAAGUCUGAUGUGAAAGCCCCCGGCUCAACCGGGGAGGGUCAUUGGAAACUGGGAAACUUGAGUGCAGAAGAGGAGAGUGGAAUUCCACGUGUAGCGGUGAAAUGCGUAGAGAUGUGGAGGAACACCAGUGGCGAAGGCGACUCUCUGGUCUGUAACUGACGCUGAGGAGCGAAAGCGUGGGGAGCGAACAGGAUUAGAUACCCGCGUAGUCCCUGUCUCUUAUAC